RNAcentral lists this long non-coding RNA (14118 nucleotides) under Medicago truncatula (barrel medic). RNAcentral describes it as "long non-coding RNA (MTRU_LNC000825)". Lineage: Eukaryota; Viridiplantae; Streptophyta; Magnoliopsida; Fabales; Fabaceae. The record is from RNAcentral.
UCUUUUUUAAGUCAAUAUUGGCAGUUGCAGUUUUCUUUAUGAGAAGUUUUAAUUUGAUGUUAAAUAUAAUGUCCUCUGAUAUGACCCCUCUGCAUAAUGUGAUGUAUGUAUUUUGAUAUUCAAAUAACGCAACACUUUAUUGUGUUUAGAGUUUAGAUGUUUUCUUUUAACUCAAAUUCAAAGGGCUUAGCUUAACGAAAACCAUACACUUCCCAUUCCCAACUAGUCAGUCUGUGCCGCUGUUCUUCAAUAUAUUUUGGUCUAUAGUAAUGAAGGAAUUAAUGAUUAUUACAUCUUAUCAACAACAAAAUAUAACAUAAAACUUACAAUUUUACUUCUAAUCUUUUUCCCAUUGCCUUUUUUUGUGAAGGUCACCUAACUAAAGAGAGUGAUUUAUACAAUUUUGGGGUUGUUCUCUUGGAAAUUAUGUCAGGCAAACAUGCAUUAGAUAACAACAGGCCAUUUUUGGAUCGUAAUUUUUGGAUCGUAUAGAAGGACAAUACUCAUCGAGUGAAGCAAUGAAAUUAGCUCACAAGUUUUGUUAACAAGACCCAAGUAGGAUCAAAUUGAUAAGUUUUAAAGUUAAGGGAACCAAAAAAGUAUUUAGGUCUUAAAAAAAAUCCAUGUUUAUUCUUUUGUGCAAGAAAGAAAAUAGUAACUUGAGAACAAAAGAGAAAAAAGUCCAAAAAGUUUCCGUUUUAGUUCUUUCAAAAAAUUUCUUUAAUUAUUGGUCCUCUAAACACUCUAAUAUCAAUUUUAGUCUCUGCUUUCUUGUAAAAGUUCACGUUAUGUGUUUCAACUUUCAAACGACUUUUUUUUAUGACAUAUAGUUUAAAAAAGCAUAAAGUUUCACUAGUUUAAUAAUCUAAUUAUUCAAUCUUAAAAUUUAACUAUUUAAUUCAAAACAGGGGUAAAAAUGCAUUUAAAUUUUUUUAAUGACAAAUAUUAAUAAUUAGUUGUUAGGUUUUUUUUUUCUCAUUUAUCCAAGUUUAAACCAUGACCUCCAAUAUUUUAUCCCUUAACUUUAACCAAUUGAGAUACAAUCCUGAAAAAUAUAUUCAAACUAAAAAUAAUAACAUGAUUAAGUUCAAACGACGCACCUCCAGCUUAAUUUUUAUACGAUAUUUGUUUGUUUUUAGUCCUGUAUUUAACAAAAAAAUAGCGUGGCCAUAAUUUCUUAUCCGUCUGAGUCAAAGAAAUAAUAAUUUCUUAUCUAUCUUCUAUGAAAGAUUAAUUAAAAACACACAUAAUUAGUUUAUUAUUUUAUAAUAAAGGUAAAAUACAUAUUUAACUACUAUGGUUUUGUUGUGGCUCUAUUCUUUCUUUCAACUUGAUCAUAAAAAAAACCGAUUAGAGCAGCAGCCAGGACACUGAAAAUUAACAAGAGACAAGAAGAGGUCCAAUCCAAGAGUUCUUUGUUCUUGAAUUAGUUUUAUGUUCAUGGCUUGCUGCUUUAGAGGAAGGGUCAAAGUUGAGAGUCCUACACAUAAUGGUAUCAUUAAUGUUAUUCUAUUUUCCCCCCUUCUAUUUUUUAAUUUUCGAAAUAUUUACCCUAAAAUAAAACUUGAGAAAUAUUUAGUUUAGCAGGUAUUUUUUUUGUGUUAACCCUAGGAAUCAAACUCAGAUCCGAACAAUUCGUCUUUUGGUGGAAUUCUUGUUUAGCUUGUAUCUGAGCUUUUUUUUUUAAAUAAAAUGAUUUUGAUCUCAAAUUGCUCAAAGUUCUUUUUUUUUAAUACACCAAAAAGAUUAAUGGUAUUGACACUAUUGGUAGAAAAAUAGUUGGCAGAAUAUGGCAUAAAAGUUAGUUCAUUUUUCUAUUAUGAUAUGGUUGAAUUCAAAGGUUGUUGGAAGGGAAGAGGAUGUUUUGAGUGGUUUAAGCAACAAGGCAUCCUCUUCAUCUGUGCUUCUAACUUCAAAGACUGAGGGUGAGAUAUUACAAUGCAACAAUUUGAAGUGUUUCACAUUCAAUGAGCUAAAAACUGCUACGACGUACUUUCAUCCAAGCGGUCAAGUGGAUGAACGUGGGUUUGGUAGUGUCUUUAAGGGGUGGAUCGAUGAGCACACGCUAGCUCCUACUAAACAAGGUACUGGUUAUGUUGUUGCUGUUAAGAUGUUUAUCAAAGAAAGCAGCCAACUGGGACAGAAUGAAUGGUUGGUGAGUGUCAUUUUAUUAUUUCAUUUUGAAGUUUAUGAAACUUAUUUUCUUUAGCAAAUUAAAUAGAUUAUGACAGAUGAGAAUUCUGAUGAGACUAAUUAAACCUUAUAUUUUAGGCAGAAAUCAAUUAUCUUGGGCAGCUGCAUCAUCCUAAUCUCGUGAAACUGAUUGGUUACUGAUUAGAGGAUAGCUACCGAAUUUUUGUGUACGAAUUUUUGGCCGAGGGAAGUUUGGAUAAUCAUUUGUUUAGAAGUAUGUUGUUAAUCAUUGGUUACAGCUUCUACUAUUAUCUUUUUUAUAUCAUGUUUUUUCUCAUCUGUCCCUAAUAUUUGCAAUUACACUUUUCUUUAUGAGAAAUUAUAAUCUGAUGUUAAAUACGAUUCCUUCAAAAAAUUGUUUGUGUUUGUGAAAUAUAAGUAAGAGCGACAUUUAGAAACAUAUAUAAUGUCGCAUAUGGUGUAUGUAUUAUGAUAUUACAACUAUUUUUUUAUUGUAUUUAGAGUUUAGAUGUUUUCUAUAUUUUAACUCAAAUUCAAAUAGCUUAACCAUCCACUUCCCAUUCCCAACUACUCAGUUUGUGCUGUUGUUCUUCACUAAAACAAGUAGUAAUUAAGGAAACCAUUAUUGCAUCGACCAACAACAAAAUAAAGCAUAAUACCUACAAUUUUACUCCUAACCUUUUUCUCAUUGUCAUUUUUGUGAAGAUUACCUAACCAAGGAGAAUGAUGUAUACAAUUUUGGGGUUGUUCUCCUGGAAAUUAUGUCAGGCAAACGUGCAGUGGAUAAAAACAUGCCGCUUCAGGAACAAAAUUUGGUUGAAUGGGCCAAGCCAUUACUCAACAACAAACAUAAAAUCUCUCAAGUUAUGGAUGUUCGUAUAGAAGGUGAAUACUCAUCGCGUGAUGCAAUGAAAUUAGCUCAUAUUAUAAUUCAAUGUCUGUCUGAAAAACCAGAAUAUAGACCAAAAAUACAAGAGAUUGUGAGAUCACUGGAGCAACUUCAGCAUUCCGAUGACACAGUAGGUGGAGUACGGAGCUCUUAAUCUCAUAAUCAACCAUCAAAACAAAUGGUCAUUAUCUCAUUUCUAAAGCAGCAAUGGUUUCAAACAACAUGGAAAAAGAAUCUGUGAAUCUAUAAGUGGAGAAUGUAAUUCUAAUUUGUUUUCAUGUGUCUCUCUCGUUAUAAGUAGAAGAUGAAAUUUUUGGCAUACUUCACAUACCUCAAACAAUAUACAUUGUUUUAAAGAAUAUAUACAGAGCUGGUGCUUCCUAUGUGUAAGAACUAAAUGAAAUGUUAUAUUGUCAUAAUAUAAUGCACAUCAUGUUAAUAAUAUAAAUCUUAAUCAUAGUAUACCAUGUCAUGAUCAAAUUCUUUUAAUAGCAAACGUUAGUGAUUAGUUGUUAGAUUGGGUUUUCUCCUUCGUCCAAGUUUAAACCAUAAUCUUCAACUCCUUAUUCUUUAACUCGAACUAAUUGAGUUAUCCAAUUUAUAAAAAAAAAAAUGCUUAUAAAAAAAAGUAUCCAUCCGAGUCAAAGAAAUAAUAAUUUCUUAUCGACCUUCUAUGAAAGAUUAGUUAAAAGCACACAUAAUUAGUUUAUUAUUUUCAUAAAGGCAAAAUACAUAUUUAACUACUAUGGUUUUGUUGUGGCUCUUCUCUUUCUUUCAACUUGAUCAUAAAACAAUCAAUUAAAAUAGCAGCCAGGACAAAAAUAAUUGUUUUUAGUUUUACACGUUCACAUUUGCUUUUCUUCUCUAUAAUUUCAAUGCGUUGCUUAUACAAACUUAUGUAUAGAAAAGAUUGUGAGAUCAUUGGAACCACUUCAGAAUUCUAAUGACCCAAUUAGUGGUGUGGAGAGCUCUUAAUCUCAACAUCAAACAACCAUCAAAGUAUAAAGGGUCAUAUAUCAAGCAUUAGUGGUUUAGAACAACAUUGAAAAAGAGCCAAAUGUAUCUUUAAGUGAAGAAAUAAAUGAAAUGUCAUAAUAGCAACUUCAAUGGAAGUAUCUAAGAAGGUUUAAUGGGAGAAAGGAUUUGUUCGUUAUUUUUUCUACUCAAAAUUGGAAGAACUUAAGGUGGCAAAGUAGGUUGCAUCAAUUUUUUUUAAAGUAGCUUAAUUAUUAUUUGGUAGCAUUGAAAUAAAAGAUUGGUUCAUAUAAAUAUGAAAGUGAUAAGUGUUGCUCUUUUUUGACAAAAAGUGUGGGUUAGAGUUGCAUAUUUUUCAGAUCAUUGGAGUAAAAUAUGAGUUGAAUAGUUAUAAUAUAGCGUUGUGGGAUACUGGGAUUGGUAUGGCAGUGUAUGAAAUUUAAAGAUUCCUUAAAUAAUAAUAACCAAAAGAGGCUCUAGAUGCACGAAUAUAUUGCACAUCACAACUAUAACAUAAAUCAUAGACAUAGUAUCAUCUUAUGAUCGGUGAAUUCAAGAUUCUUCAGUUCCAUGAAUUAAGGAUAUCAUCGGGCCGUUCCUGUAAAAUUGGAGGCCCGGCUCUCUCAGUAAAAAUAGACCCCUAAAAAAAAUGAAACUUUUUUACAAGAGAGAAAAAAACUACAAUGUUAUUUUUAUUUUAUUUUUUAAAAAUAUAAUUAUAAUGUUUGUUGUUAGAACUUUGUGAUUUUAUACGACAAAGAUCAUUCUUUUAUUUGUAAAUAUGUAAUUGAACUAAAUUAGAAGGAGAAGUGGGAGUAUUAUGGACAUAUAGACCUCAAAUCUAUUCAAACUAGGCCCAAAAGGACCCUAUCAUGCUGGGAAAAAAAUACAAUUAAAAAAAUAUGAACAUUUGCCACCAGACUCAACUCCACUGUGCAUUACCGCUGGGACACGCCUUCAGUAGUAUCAAUGAUACAAUGCUAUGCGUAUAUAUUAGUAUUUUCAGUGCAUUAUGUAUUAAUAUAUAUUUUAGGCCCCAAAAUUGGGGAGGCCCGACUCUAUAGACCUGUUUGCACCUCCCCAUGGUCGGUCUUAGAUAUCAUAUAUAAUAGUGAUAAGAAUAAGAAACGACAAUAUCUCUUGAAUUCAUCCUCUUAAGAUUUAUUUGAUACUUUUGAAUGUCUCACUUUUAAUCAAUUGAUAGAUGUUUGAAUUUCUUAACUAUUUACCUCAAGGCUUGAUUAAUAAGUGGUGCAUAUAAAAAACAUGUUGGAGAAUGUCUUAAACUUUAAUAUUCAAACAUACUCACCAUGUCAUGUGUAAUAUUCAUGACUACUAGAUGAAGACUUUAUUGUGUGAUAAGAUUAUUUACGUCAAAAAAAUGUUAAAUAUCAAUAUAAAAUUUUAUUGAUCUAUUUACAAUUAGAAAUAUGUUAAAUUACUUUUCACAAUUUAGAACUUUUAUUAGGUUAAUGACCAACAUAUAAACAAAUAAACGAGAAGAGAGAAAAUAGAGUCCUUAGACCAACUACAAUGAGGGUGUUGAAAGCCAUAUUCAACAAGCAAACCAUUGGAGAGGGGGGUGUUGAAAGUGAGCUGGAGGAAAGAGAUGAUGAAUACAUUCAAUAGGUUGAAUCCUGACGCCGGAAGCCACGUGGCGCGCUCGGAUUGGGCUUUUUUUGGCGCGUGCGUUACACGCGCCGACAAGGCGCGUCUGUGACAGAGGGACGCGGAGAGAGAAACUGUUUUGGAUAGAUGCUGCCACGCGUCGCUUUCUGGUUGGCUGGCCUGGAUUUUUAUCUUCUUAAUACUUUGGACUCAAUUAUUUCAUUGCAAAUAAUUUUUUUUAUUUUUUAUUUUUUCACCAAAAUUCGUGAUUUUUUUUUCUCUAUAAAUAGAGACUUGGAUCAUUUGAUUUGGACACAGAAAAAAAAACCAUAAUUUUCACUCUCUUAAUCUUAUUAUUAGCAUUUCUUUUGAAGUUUUAGUCUUUAAUUAGUGAAAUGGAUCCCACUAACAAUCAAUCCAACACCCAAAAUUCUUCUGAUUACCCUUUUAGCUACCAAAAUCAAUUUCCCAACUCACAUCCUCAAAACCCAAAUCAAUUUCCCAACCAAUAUCCUCAAAACCCAAAUCAAUUCCUCAACCAACAUCCUCAAAACCCAAAUCAAUUCCCCAACCAAAAUCCUCAAAACAUGUCUAAUUUUGGUUUUGCCUCAAAUUUCAAUCACCCAUCCUUUGUUCCAAACAACUUUAAUCCAUAUUUUAGAUCUAUGAUGGGAUAUUCAUCUCAAACACCCCCAUUUAAUGGUUAUAUGCCAAUGGUGAAUGAAAAUUUUCAGAGUGUUGGUGAAUAUCCUGAAUUUUCAUCACAAAUAAAUCGUGGUGGAAUGACACGAGAUAAUGAAGUUGCUCCAACUCCAGAGGAUACAACUCCAAAGAGCAAGAGAAACCAACAACCAUCAUGGAACACUGAACAAAAUUUGGUGUUAAUUAGUGGGUGGAUAAAAUAUGGAACAUGCAGUGUUGUCGGAAGAAACCAGACAAGUGAAUCAUAUUGGGGUAAAAUUGCUGAGUAUUGUAACGAGCAUUGCUCAUUCGAUUCUCCGCGCGAUGUAGUUGCAUGCCGAAACCGUUUUAAUUAUAUGAACAAAUUAAUAAAUAAAUGGGUUGGUGCUUAUGAUAGCGCUAAGCGUAUGCAAGGAAGCGGUUGGUCGGAAGAUGAUGUUUUCAAAAAAGCUCAAGAAUUAUAUGGAUGUGGGAAGAAUGUUCAAUUUACUUUAAUGGAAGAAUGGCGCGCUCUCCGAGAUCAACCACGGUAUGGUAGUCAAGUGGGAGGAAAUGUUGACUCAGGAAGUAGUGGAUCUAAGAGAUCUUACGAGGACUCUGUAGGAUCUAGUGCUCGUCCAAUGGGUAGGGAUGCAGCUAAAAAAAAAGGUAAGAAGAAAAGCAAGGGCGAGACAUUGGAGAAGGUGGAAAAGGAAUGGGUUCAAUUCAAAGAAUUAAAAGAGCAAGAGAUUGAACAAUUGAAAGAGUUAACUUUGGUGAAACAACAGAAAAACAAGUUGCUGCAAGAAAAGACUCAAGCUAAAAAAAUGAAAAUGUAUCUAAAGUUAAGGGACGAAGAGCAUCUCGAUGACCGGAAGAAUGAGCUGUUGGGGAAGUUGGAGCGUGAGCUGUUUGAAAAUUAAUUUUAAUCAAAUAUUUGUUUGUAUUCAGUCAACAUUAUCAGUGUUGUCUAGUCCCGACUGUUUGCUUUAAUAUUUGUCAGUGUUGUCUAGUCCGUAGUGUUUGCUUUAAUAAUUAUCAGAGUGUUGUCUAGUCCUCACUGUUUGCUUUAAUAAUUAUCAGAGUUUUGUCUAGUCCUCACUGUUUGCUUUAAUAAUUAUCAGAGUGUUGUCUAGUCCUCACUGUUUGCUUUAAUAAUUAUCAGUGUUUGCUUUAAUACAAUACAAUAACUUAUUUCGAAUCCGUUAGUGUCCACCACACAAUGUACUUAUAUAUAGGGACUCAUGUCUACUUCCAAUAUCACAAAUCUCAUUCCUAUCUAUUUCCAAUAUCACAAAUCUCAUUCCUAUCUAUUUCCAAUAUCACCAAAGACUAUCAAUGGAUCCUUUUGAUAUCGAAGCCUACAAACAAAAACGUGAUAUUGAAGACACUUAUAUCGUCAACCGAUUUAUUCAGCGUCGAAAAGAAUUAGAGGAAGGUAGUGGAUCUCGUAGUAGAAAAUAUUUAAAUAGAGAUCAUGCAGCGGCAAACCAAAGACUCAUUGACGACUACUUUGCCAAUGAGCCUACAUAUGACGAUGCAAUGUUUCGUCGUCGGUACCGGAUGCAAAAGCAUGUUUUCCUUCGAAUCGUUGGAGACCUUUCAAUUACUGAUAACUACUUCACCCAGCGAGUUGAUGCCGCCAACAAAGAAGGUAUAUCACCGUUAGCAAAAUGUACCACAGCAAUGCGAAUGUUAGCAUAUGGCGUGGCAGCAGAUGCGGUCGAUGAAUACAUCAAAAUAGGAGGUACUACAGCAUUGGAGUGCUUACGUAGAUUCUGUAAAGGAAUCAUACGAUUGUAUGAGGAAGUGUACCUGAGAGCACCAAACCAAGAUGACCUUCAAAGAAUACUACAUGUUAGUGAAAUGCGGGGGUUCCCAGGGAUGAUCGGGAGUAUUGACUGCAUGCACUGGGAGUGGAAAAAUUGUCCUAAAGCAUGGGAAGGUCAAUUCACCAGGGGGGAUAAGGGAACCACCACAGUUAUUCUUGAAGCAGUUGCAUCUCAUGAUCUAUGGAUCUGGCAUGCCUUUUUUGGAUGUCCAGGAACGUUGAACGAUAUCAAUGUUCUAGACCGGUCACCGGUGUUUGAUGAUGUGGAACAGGGAAAGGCUCCACGGGUGAAUUUCUUUGUGAAUCAACGUCCCUAUAAUAUGGCAUACUAUCUAGCUGAUGGUAUCUACCCUUCUUAUCCAACUUUCGUCAAAUCAAUUAGACUUCCUCAAAGUGAACCUGAUAAGUUAUUCGCAAAACAUCAGGAGAGCUGUCGGAAGGACAUCGAACGUGCUUUUGGAGUGCUUCAAGCUCGAUUUAAAAUCAUCCGUGAACCAGCUCGCUUGUGGGACAUAGCCGAUUUGGGUAUCAUCAUGAGGUCAUGCAUCAUAUUGCAUAAUAUGAUUGUUGAGGAUGAACGAGAUACAUAUGCUCAACGUUGGACCGAUUUUGAGCAAUCUGAGGGAAGUGGAUCUAGUACAGCACAACCAUACUCGACCGAGGUGUUACCCACUUUUGCAAAUCAUGUGCGUGCUAGAUCCGAGUUGCGUGAUCCAAAUGUUCAUCACGAAUUGCAAGCAGAUCUAGUGAAGCACAUAUGGACAAAGUUUGGAAUGUUUCACGAUUGAAGAUGAUUUGUAUCGAACUAAGUAAAUUACUUGUGUGUUGUGUGCUUGUUUGUUGUCUUGCAUUUUAAGCUAUUUGUGUGACCCGUACUUAGUUUGUUGUAUUGCAUUUUAUUUAUGUUAAGAAAAUAAAAAUAAAUUAUUUAAAUAAAUUUUGUUUUUACAAAAAAAAAAAAAUUGUUAAGUGUUUCUUCAUUUUAAUUUAAUUAUAAUCGAUAAUUGUAAUUUUAUGUAAUUAUAAAAACAAAAAUAUAAAAUUAAAUAAGAAUAAGAAAUAAAAGGUGGUGGGGUAGGGUGUUGAAUAAAAAACCAUUGGAGAGGUAAAAAUUGAAUGGGUGUUGAAUUAAGAGAGAGAAAAUGAUGUGGAGUGUUGGGAAUUGAAAAAGUGGGUGUUGAAGGUUAUUGAAUGUAUUUUACCAUUGUAAAUGGUCUUAGAGAGAGAGGGGGAGGGAGGGAGGACGGUCCAUAUCCACACACUCCACUCAUGUCUCAAUAGAGUGGCCACUUCACUAGGUUAUUUUGGAUGAAUUGAAUAGUACUUAUACUUUAUUUUAUUGGUGGGUUAAAAUCAUCUGUAUUUAGAGUUUUUCUAAUUACACCCUGUUUAAUCAUGGCUGCACUCCAAAAUGACAGAAUUAUCCUUCUAUAAAAUUUAAUUUUCAAAAAGCAUCUUCCUUUUUUCUUGGUUACACCCUAAAAUUCUUCUUCAGUUUAAGUAAGUCAUGUAAACUUAGUUUCAGUAGAUCAUGUAAACUAAAUUUAAGUGUACAUACUUAAACUCAGUUUAAGUAGUUAAUGUAAACCGAGUUUAAGUGUACAUUUAAAAGUUCAACCUUGUUCAAUGAUUCUACGUAAUCUCAGUUUAAGUAUGUACAUGUAAACUUAUUUUAAGUAGGUCAUGUAAACUAAGUUUAAGUGUACAUACUUAAACUCAGUUUAAGUAGAUCAUGUAAACUUAAUUUAAGUAGCUCAUGUAAACUUAGUUUAAGUAUACAUACUUAAACUCAGUUUAAGUAGGUCAUGUAAACUCAGUUUAAGUAGGUCAUGUAAACUGAGUUUAAGUGUACAUCUAAAAGUUCAACUUUGUUCAAUGAUUAUACGUAAUAUCAGUUUAAGUAUGUACAUGUAAACUUAGUUUAAGUAGGUCAUGUAAAUCGAGUUUAAGUAGAUUAUGUAAACUAAGUUUACAUGAACCUACUUAAACUGAAUUUAAGUUAACCUCAACAAUGUAAAACUGAAACUGUCGUACAGUACAGUUGAACAAGAAGAACAAAAUUGAAACCAACGUUAUUGAAAAAAAAAGAAAAAAUUCACUUAUUUAUAUGCAAUCGAGUAUGAAUGAAAGAUGUUUUGAUUCACUUUUUAAUCUUCCAUAGAGAUUAAUUGAACAUCAGGAUUGUUUGAUCGUAGGUGGGUGAAAGAGAGUGAAAUUUUAGUGUGACAAUGAAUGAAAUCAAGAUUUUAAAUUUUUUUGUAUAAAAGGACAAUUUUGGUAUUAUCAAAAACUUUUUUAAAAAACUGGAUGUAACCAGAAAUAUAUAGGGUAUGAAUAGAAAAACUCUUGUAUUUAUUGUUGUUUAUUAAUAAAAAUUUGUUUAAUGUUCAAAAAUAAAACAACUAAAAUUAAAAAUAUAUUGACCAUAAAUAUUAAAUUAUCCUUCCUCCUCUUCUCUUUCCUCUUGACUCCAAAACAAAGUCUAAGACACAAGAGACAAAAUACUACAUAUUUAACUACAACUAUUGUUUUUGUUGUACCCACAUCUCCUUUUUUCAACUUGAUCUUAAAACAAUCAAUUAAAGUAGCAGCCAUAACAAAACCUGUUCUCAUUUUAUCCUUCUUCUCGACGGUCUAACAAAGAACCCGAUCAGACAUAUGACCCCAUUCAAACACACAAAUACUUUUCAACACCUAUUUAUGUAUUACAUAGUGUUGACUUGACAAACAAUGGUCGCUUGAAUUGACAAUUAUGCCCUUGGGUGGCACCUAACCACCUUUUAUGUGUGGAAAAAAUCAUUGUUCUCACACGUGUAUAUUUGUUUUUCUUCUCUUUCAAGCUCUUUGCUUAUGCAGUUAUGCAAAUUUCCCUUAUCAAAAAUUGAAAAAUUCUACUUGUAGUUACUAGUUACUCUCUUUUGGUUGCACUGAAAAUUAACAAUAGACAAGAAAGGAUCUAACAAUUCUGUGUUCUAUGAUGAUGGGUUGCUGCUUUAGUGCAAAGGUCAAAGCUGAGAGUCCUACACAUAAUGGUACUAUUCUUAUUUUAUUUUUCAACUUUUUUACUUGUUAUCUCAGCUCAAUUUUGAUUGUUUGGAUUUCAGUUCUGAAUGAUCUAAUAUAUUAUGUUCCUUGUUAUAUAAUUAAGGAAAUUAAAAUAGUUGUAGGAUUCUCUAUACUUUCUGUAUAUUUAUUAUCUAAUGAAUACUAUGUGAUGAGUUAUGUUGUGUCUAUUGGUUUGAGUGAGGAAAUUUUGUUUAGAAAUUAUUAAGGGGUGAUCAUAGAUCUCCUCUAGCUAUGAAAAUAUUCCAUCUAUCUCUAAUUCAAUCAUACUUUUUAUACUUGAAAUUUCUAAGAAUAAAUUUUGCAUCUAGUUUAGGUAGAUUCAGCCAUGAAGUGGUGUGUGGAUUAAAAUAUGUGUUAAAAGAAAUUUAGGGUACAAUGAUAAUGAGUUUGAACGAUUUAAUUCAUACAGUUCUUGAACUCGACGAUCGUGAUCUUAUAACAGUUGGUUUUAUAGGUGAAAGGUAGAGAAAGAGUGAGGGAAAAAUCAAUAAUACAGAAAAAAUUCUUCAAGAGAAUGUAAGAAGUUUUCCUUUUCUUGCACUUUGAGAUACAAUGCAUUGCAUAGUUGCAUGAUUGUUAUUGUACCUUCUUUUCUUCUACUGUGUUGGCACUUGGCCUCUAUUUUCCAUAAAAAAUUGUCAGCGUGAAUCAGAACAGUAUGACUUAAAUUAUGGAAUUAAUGUUAUUAAAAUUAUUCCUAGAAAAACUACUGCCAGAAUAAGGCCUAAGAAGUUAAUUUGUGUUCUGAGAUAAACAGGUUUGAAUUCAAAGGUUGUUGGGAGAGAGGAGGAUGUUUCGAGUGGUUUAAGUAGAAGGGCCUCUUCUUCAUCUGUGCUUCUAAGCUCUAGGACCGAGGGUGAGAUAUUGCAAUCAAACUAUUUGAAGUGUUUCACUAUCAAUGAGGUAAGAGCCGCGACAAGGAACUUUCGUCCAGAUAGUAUGAUUGGCGAAGGUGGAUUUGGUUGUGUAUUUAAGGGUUGGAUCGAUGAGCACACACUAGCUCCUACUAAACCAGGUACUGGUUUUGUUAUUGCUGUCAAGAGGCUUAACCAAGAAAGCAGUCAGGGACAUAGUGAAUGGUUGGUGAGUCUCAUUUUAGGCUCAAAAAUUAGUUCUUUUUUAGAAGUAUGUUAUUAACUUUCCUAGAAUUAAUGUUAUAGUAAUUGAGAAUUUCAUUGCAUUUGAAGUUAUGAAAAUAUCAAAUUAGUUUAGGACACUUGUUUUUUUAGUAUUUAAACACAUGUUGUAAUCUGUAACUUUAAGCUUGAAUAAUAGAAAAUCACUAUAUCCACCAUGUAGUUAGAGACGUUGGCACAAUUGGCCAAACUCAAUGAUCAAAUCUCGUGUUUUCUUUGUAACCAGGGUUGUUAUUCUAACAUGAACCUUGUAUUUCAUAGACAGAAAUCAAUUACCUUGGACAGCUGCAUCAUCCAAAUCUAGUGAAACUGAUAGGUUACUGCUUAGAGGAUGACUACCGGAUUUUGGUAUAUGAAUUUGUGACCAAGGGAAGUUUGGAUAAUCAUUUGUUUAGAAGUAUGUUAUUAACUUUCAUCCUUCAAUUAGUCUUUUUUUCAAGUUUUUUUAUUAGUUGAUAUCGUUUACUAGUUACUAUAUUAAAUCCCUGAAAAUCUCAUCUCUACCUAAUGUUUAUGGAUCAGGAGCUUCUUACUUUCAGCCACUCUCUUGGAAAAUCCGAAUGAAGAUAGCUCUUGAUUCUGCUAAGGGUCUUGCAUUUCUUCACAGUGAUGAAGUCGAAGUGAUAUAUCGAGACUUCAAAACUUCUAACAUCUUGAUUGAUUCUGUAAGUGGAUUACGUUGAUCUUACUAGCUAAGAGCUAGACAGAUUACUAAUUAGACUUGCUUUGUAACAUUCCGUUUUGUUAACAAACAGAACUAUAAUGCAAAGCUCUCAGAUUUUGGGAUGGCAAAAGAUGGACCAGAAGGUGGUAAGAGUCAUGUCUCUACAAGGAUAAUGGGCACCCCAGGCUAUGCAGCGCCUGAGUAUUUGGCCACAGGUAUCAUCAAAUUAUUUUUGCAUUACUACUAAUAUAUUUCAUCAUAUGAUAGUGGAUGAGAAAUUUGGACCUGGAAGUUAUAUAUUUCCUGAACAAUUUAUGACCAAUAUAUUAUUUGCAUUAUGUUGAAACAGCUAGGAAAAAGAUAGUAUCUACUCGUUCGAAUUGACAUUUAAUUCUUCCGACAUACAUCCAGCUUCCUCUAAUGGAAAUUACAGUUUACUUUAUUGUAUUUAGACUCAGAUGCUGUCUACAUUUUAAUUCAAAUUCAACAAGCAAUGCUGACAAAAACCCUCCACUUUUAGUAUGCCAAUGUUUGAAUUCACGGCCAGACACAGAAGUCGUAAAACAUGGUUUGACCACAAAUUAGUUAUGCUUGGCGUUUGGUCCCCUAUAUUGAUCCAGUCCCAAAGUCAAUUUUUCCAAAAAGCUUAGAUUUCUAGCUUUGUGAUGAAAUAAAAUCAAUUCUCAAAUUUAUUAAAAAUGUCAAAUACAUACACACUCAAUCAUCUAAACCAUUCCAACUUGAAUUAAUAAAAAUCAAUUUUUCGUGAAUGCUACAAACAAAUCAUUAUACACUCAACUCAUUUUUUUUUUACCACAAUCCAUUCAUUUGAAAUCGAUUUUCUUCACCACAGAACCAUGUAUUCACUACAUGAUUUCACUUCCCCUCCCCAACUACUAUGUGCUGCUAGUCCUCGCUUUAGUAAGGUCUAUAGUCAGUAGUGAUUAUUACAUCUUACAACAACAGAAUGGGGAAAAAAAACUACAAUUUCAUUCCUAACCUUUUUUUUUUUGUUAUCUUUUUUGUGAAGGUCACCUAACUAAAAAGAGCGAUGUCUACAGUUUCGGGGUUGUUCUCCUAGAAAUUAUGUCAGGCAAGCGUGUAUUGGAUAAAAACCGACCGUCUGGAGAGCAUG